AACGUAACUGUAUUUAUCUCGUCAAUCGUCAUCUUUGUUUGCUGCUAGCGCUCAUUGCCGAAAUGUUUGUCCUUUUAUAACGUGAUGCGAUUACCAGCGGCUUUGUGGCAUGUGAGGGCAAAAUAAAAUCCAGUUUUUAACACAACAGUUCUGUAUUUUCUAUUUAUUUACGUUUAAGGACCAAUUGUAAACUUACAGACAAAACGAGCCCGUACAAGAGAAAGAAAGAUAAUCUUGAUUUUGAGCUUCUUCGCGCAGAUAAUGGUAAGCACCUGUUAUUCGAAAUCCGUGUUAAUUAAUUAAAAAUCGCGGAAAUUUUUUUU
This is a non-coding RNA of Paramuricea clavata, 323 nucleotides long. NCBI's taxonomy places the organism in Eukaryota, Metazoa, Cnidaria, Anthozoa, Malacalcyonacea, Plexauridae. The record is from the annotation of a GenBank genome assembly.